ACUAGUGAGAAUCCAAUGAGAAAGCUACAGUCUGCAUCUGGAAGAGGACCCUCACUAGAACCUGAGCGGGCUGGAACCCUGAUGUUGGACAUCCAGCCUCCAAAACUAGCACCACCAUUCCAGAGUUGCUGAAAUGAAGCAGCCAAGGCCCAGCUUAGAUGUCCCAAUUGAUGAUGGAUGAGAGUGUUAAACCUCCAUCCUGCACAGGAUGGAACACCAGGAGCCCCAAAUCUACGUCAGAAAUUUCACUGGAGCAAUAAGACACAUAUCCUUGGGAAUUUGAGGACCAGAGGCUAAUAAGGAGUCCAUGGUUGAUAGGAUCUAGGAAUACACAGACACUGCUGUCAUCUAGCCCAAAUUCCUUCCCAUUGUUCCAAGAGUUAUAGGCACAACUAAGUUUAAAGAAGCACUUACUGUAGCAGUCUGGAUAGGCUAGGAUACACAAUGGAAAACUAAAUCUCAAGACCUCAAAAUAACAAGAGUAAAUGCCGUUUUGUCAAUGAAAGAGGGAUGCUUGCGAUGAUGUGAAGGAUGUCUGAGAAGAGGUGUAUUUCUGAAGGAAAGAAAGAACACAGCAUACUCCUUGGAUAAAUCUCAUUUUCUUCCUUGUUAAGCCUUUUUUUCCCAUUGCAUUCUCUACAAACCCCUGGCCCACUCUUUCCUCCUCUUUCUACUUCCUUCCUUUCUCACCUGUACCCCAAACUAUAUUUGUAAACUCUUGCAGUGUUACUUUUGCACAGGGCUUGAAAUAUUUAACACCUUUGUUUUUAAUACAUGAGAAAAAUAAGAUCUAUAGGAAAGGAAACAACUUAACCAGUUUGAACAGGUAAUUGAUAGACUACAGUCCUCUCUCAAAUGUUUACUAAUGACACAUAUGCAUGGAGAUGGGAAUGUAUACAUACACACACACACAUACACACACACACAAACACACGUAUUGACUGGUUGAAACAUGACAGUUCUCCAGUACCUGGGAAUUAAAGGAGGGUGCAUUAGCCAUCCCUACCUUUACCUCAAUAUCCAUUUUAGGAAGGAUUAGAAAUUAAUUUACAUGAUUGAACAUACCAAGGGCUUUGAAAGCAGAAAAAUAUGAAAUUCAGAUUUUUCACUUCUUCAUCCUGGAGGUUCAGUUUUCCCAACACUAAAAUGAGGAUAGUAACACCAAACAUGGGAAUUGUUGAAGUGAUCAGUGAAAUAGAUGCUGUAUUAUAGGCCUAGCUCAGUUUAUGCUCUUAUCUUAAGAUUCUCUCUCUGGAAACCAAACCACCCCUGGAAUGGGCUCUGGUGGUCCUUACAUGAACAUAAGGCAUGCAUAACCCCUUUGAUAUUGUGAGUGUUUCUCUGCAUAUGAGCAUUCUUUUCUUCAGGGAAAAGUUCCUAACUUUUAUUAGAUUCUCAAAGUUGUCUGUAUUUCCUAUUAUUUUAAGAAAACUGACUUAAAUAGAAGGUGUAAUUGCGAAUGUUAACAAUAAUAAUUACAAACACCAUAACAUUACUAAUAUUUCACUACAAACAAAUAAUAAUAGUAUUAUUAUUAAUAUUCAAUUAUCUGAACAUGAGCCAAAAUUGGUGGAUGAAUCACAUUUAAAUCAUCGGGUGCUUUGCUUUCACCAGGUAAAAAGUUCCAAUUUCUUCUUAUUACAUUAAAUCUUAAGAACCUAUUUCACUCUUAUCCACAAAAAGGAACUCAUUUCCCCUAGAAAGGCAGGCUAAUGAGGUCUGCUUAAUUUAUAGCUGGGUCCAUUUAUGUGGUGGUUUCAUUAACAAAGACAUCUAUUUAAUUCAAUAGAUUCCUACACGUGGUACACAUAGAAGACACUACUACCCCCAUUCACUCCCCAUCCAUUCAUUACCCUAAUGCUUCUGACACACACAAACAAACCUUGUUUUACAAAUUGCUUAGAGAUUUGAUUAUUGCAUCAUGCAUUUUGUUGUAACAAGAAAGGUGAUUUAAAAUCAUUAGUCCUAAAAUUUAGUCCUGUGUGUGCUUUGAAGUCAAGGGGAACAAUUUGUCAGCUGGUUGAUCUUUUGCUUCUAAAGCUAGUUAACUGAUCAAUCUAAUGUCAAAGGAACAGAGAUAAAUGGGAGACAUUUUACUAUGUAGAAAACGGUACAUGAAGAUAAAUCCAACACUGUGCUUUAUUUCAUCUGCAGUUAUCUUUGUAGUAAUUGCUUUGGAAGACUCAAGGUGCUCUUUGCACAUAGGGAGUGUUAGAAGCCUUUAAAUCAUCUGCAUAGACUAGUAGCUUCUUGCUGCGAAUCUUGCUUUGCUCCAUUUUUGGGUAGAGAGGACAAUAAUCUCCUACUAUAAAUGCAAAUUUGGCAAGGACCAAAGGUUGGGAUUCUUGACUAGUUGUUUAUUGAACAAUCAAUUCAUACAUUUCUGAAAUUUCUUGACAUGCUUGCAAAGUAGAUCCAUUCCUUAUUGAAUUCAUUUGAUUUUCACUAUGACCAUAAUGAUUAAACUAGUUCUGGAGUAAACGUUUCCUAAUGAACAGAUUUGGAUGUACCAGCUGUUCCAGUUAUCUCUGUACAAAACAACCCCCCCAACUAUCUGGCUUAAAACAAAAGACAUAUAUUUCAUAAUUUUGUAAAUCAAAAAUUGAAAUUGAGUGACAACAGCAAAGGAAACUUAAAAAUAUUUAGCCAUCAAUGAACUGUAGGGUCCAAUAUACCUUCAUUUACAUGUCUGGUACCUUGGAUGCAGGGAAUGAUUGGAAGGCUUGUCUAGUAGACUCAGCUGUGACUGCCAAUCAGAGUACCUCCAUUUGGCUUCUCCAACAAGAAGUAUCAGAUAAACUUCUUACUUGACAUCUCAGGGCUCUCAGAGAGUUCUAAAAGGCCAUACUGGAAGCUGCAACAGUUCUUAUCAGAGUAUCAGUUGCUACUAGGUCAAUUUAUGGACAAAUCACUCAGGUCAUCUCAGACUCAAGGUAAGAGAAACUAGACUCUACCUCAUAGAGAAGAGAAAAACACGGUAUCCAUAUCCUUCUUUAAUCUACCACUCCAGAACAUUUUGAUUCUAUACAAGACCCAUUAUCAAAUCAUUCUGCUGCCAUCACCUCAAGGUUUUAUAUGUUUUAGAAUGUUCAGCAAGACAGAUCAUGGUCAGGGUAAAAGAGCAGUAAUUGGUUAAGUAGCUAUUAUUCUGACAAGCUACAAAAGGGACUUGCAUUUUCUUAACUCUCAGAAAUUUUUUGUAUUUUUAGUAGAGACGGGGUUUCACCGAGAAACAUCUUCUUACUGAAAGUUAUGUGAACACCCAUUAGAAACCAGGGAGAGAGAUUUCAUUUCUUCCAGAGUAGGUUCAAUGCCUAGUUUUACCCUAUCAGAAUUUUGUCCGGGGCACUUAUCCAGUGACAAUUUUUUUUUCAUAAGAGCUAUUUUUCGUAAGACUGCCCAAAAUCUUAGGAAUGAUCCAAUUUUCCAGUAAUGACUAAUAUAUUAAGAUGCAUAUGAAGGCUCCUCUUUCAUUAUGAUAGUCACCCUCUCACCAUUGCCUACCGAAUACUGUCUCAACUCAUCGAACUGCCUGACUUUUCACAACGAAGCCUUUAAAGUUUAUUCAAAACUUCUCUCCUCACAUUCACCCUGUCCACCAGCGAGACCACCCCUCCCAUUGUCUCCAGAAUAAAUAUGGUGUUCCCACCUCUGGGAAAGUUAACAAUGACAAUUAUAUCAAUUGCUAAUAUUUGUUGAACACUUACAUCACUUGUUUGCUCUUUAGGCUACGUUGAUUGAUGUGAAUUGCAAUGGACACUCCGAUGCCGUUGGGAAGCACUUCUUGUCUGUUGUACUCAACACAAAGAACUGUCCACUCUUGAUAUUUUUUUUGUAAAAGCCUGUAUCAUGUCUUCCCAGACAAAUGUUCCAGGAAAGUAUGAGAUUUUGUCUCGUACUACUUGUUUUCACACACAAUGUCUCACACAGAGCAGGCACUCCACAAAUAAAUUACUAGUCCAGCAACCCUUUAUUACACAACUGUUACAUACUCCAUGCAAACAAGGAAAGCAAGUUAGAACAAAUGAAACACAACUUCAGGAAUAGUUUGUUGUUCAUUUGAAUUUGCUGAUAUUUUUAUGUUUGACUUUAGAGGAAUUUGAAUGAUUUAGGUCGGAAUUGCAUUUCUACAGCUGGCUGGCAGGACAACUUUGAACAGUCUACAGAGCUCCUAUUUUCCUCUCUCUGAAGUGAGGGUAACAACUGGUAAAAGUGUUGUAUGUCUAAAAUCACAAAAGUGAUGUAAAGCUUUACUUUUCAAAUUUUCUUGUGCUUAAAAAUCAUCUGGAAUCUUGUAAAAAGGGCUGUGGUCUAAAAGAAAGAGCCUGAGAUUCUGCAUUUCAGACAAGCUCCCAGAGAAGGUAAAUGAUGGCCCAUCGGCUACAGCUUGAGUAGCAAUGCUAUAAAGCACCUAAUAUUAAUACUCACUCUGAAAUGUUGUCCUCCCCUUCCUCCCUCCAUCUUCCUAUUUGAAAAUUCCAGGAGACAGAAAUGGAUUUUUAUUUACUCCAAACGUCCAGUCUGAUGGUCUCUCAAUUGUGUUCCUCGUUUAAAAUAGUGCGGCUCCUGCACUUUGUUUAACUCUGCUUGACAAUCAGUGAUUUGUGAUUCUGCUCUUUCCUGAGCAUGUUUAUAAAAUGACGACCUUGGGAUUGGAGUCUCUGCUGCCCAAAUGCAGGGAGCAGACUUUCUAUGGAAGAAUUGUGAAAGGUCAUUUUACCACUGUUUUUUUCUUUCUUCUUGUCUUUCUUUUUGUUUUUUUGCCUUGGCUUCAUAUGCUAAUGGAAUCAACAUCCCCAUUUGCUAUUUUAAUGUUUCUUAGAAAGCUUUAUCUCAGAAUUUCCUAUGGUUUGUAUGUGCAUUAGUCUUCUAGGUGAAUCAGAGGUUUCCUGCUAUAACACCAUGAGGUUUCUCAAUAGACCCUCUUGGCUCCUUGUUGAGUCUUUUGAAUGACUUUAUUAUAAUAAAGUUGACUUGGAGCCAGAGGAGGCAGAGCUCCAGUGUUGGGCUUUCUGUAGAAUUUUAUGGGUUUUUCUCAGAAGUUUAAUGCCAGUUUAAUGGAGUUUUAUAACUAUUAAUACUCUACCACUCCAGCUGCGCUAAGAAAUAUGUAACUAAACAAUAACUUGAAAUAGGUAAAUUCAUGAUUAAGUUGCACUAAAAACUAAUGCCUCUUGGCCAUAGUUCAUAAUUUCCAAAGGCACAUCAUUUAGAAUGAUUGGUAACUUUAGCCUUGUAACUCUUUCAAGGAGAAAGGCUGUGAGCUUAAAUCACUACAUUAAGCUGACAGUGAGGCUCAUAUUUUCUGAGCUAAAGAUAUAUUUUUAUGGCCACACAGUGGACUCUGUUUAUCACUCAUCAUAAACCAUAGGAAACCAUUUUUGUUUUAAAUUAGGUGCUUAGGCUUUUGUCCUGUAAUCUGUUUCUUUAUUUCCCCUUUUCACUUUUGUUGGUCCAUUUUCAACAACUCCCAAUCGUCUUCCGUUUCCUGAAAACAGCUCAUAUUUUAUAUCUCAGCUUCUUUAAAGGUAUUUCAUCCUAGUUGAGGUCACCUUAAUUUACACCUCAAAUUACAGUUCCAGAGCCAACUUCUUUGCUGCUGAUAUUGAGUAGUAAUCCUACUAAAGAGUCCAAUUUUAAAAUGAGGAACAGUCUUAUCCUACAAUGCCAGGCAUAAGAAGCCCAUGAAUUUUGCAUAUAUCUUUAGUACUUUAAUUUAUUGAAUUACAUUUCUCCACUUCUUUGAGCCACUUAGUCAAUUACACUUCAUUCUGCUGCCUCGUCUGGUUCUAGAAGCUGUCUGUUCACAAAGACCAUAACUAAGUCAGUUUUUCCCAGACGAGGCAACAGCCGCAAAUCAUCUGAAAGUGAAAUGACUGUGGAAUUUGAGGUUUAAUUGUUUUUAAGCCAUCUUGAUUAUGUUUAUUAAAAUAGAAGGUCUUGUCAAGUUAGACCUCUCUCUAUUUCUGUCUGUCUUUCUCCUCACCUCCCUCACUGACUUUUCAGCUCACUGAGGCCCAUCCUUUUAUUGCCUGAUUUUAUACAGUUGGAUGAGAAACACAUACUGGGCAGUGGCCACAGCCCCAUCAACUGAAAGGAAUAUGAUGGGAUCAGAAGUCCUCUUAAUGAAAAACUGUAUCUUUAAUUCCUGUGGAAUUUUAAAACAUGUGCAGUGCAAUCUAUAAAUGGCCAAAUAAAAAAAGAGCAAAUAAACAUAAGAUGUUACUGUGAUCUGGUAUAAAGCCUAUAUGGCAUAGCUGAGUUUCUACCCUGCCCUAACUCCACUUAUCUUGAAGAAAAAGGAUGCCUGUGAUCAAAAUUUUUCUUUGCAAACCAGACUAGCUGAAUUUCUACCCUGCUCUGACUCCACUUAUCUUGAAGAGAAAGGAUGCCUGUGAUCAAAAGUUUCCUUUGUAACCAGACCAGUUGAAACUGGUUAAAACCAAGAUAGCAGACCAAACGAUGUCAAAAGACUUUAGGCUUCAUUACGAUCUCAUUUCCAUGCUAAAUGACACUUCCAACAGUGCCAUGACAGUUGAUAUGUGCCAUGACAGCAACCAGAAUAAGCCAGAAAAGGACAAAAAGGAAGGCAGCACUCUGGUUCCAGGAAGUUCAUCACCUGUAUUAGUCUGUUUUCAUGCUGCUGAUAAAGACACACCAGAGACUGGGUAAUUUAUAAAGUAAAAGAGGUUUAAUGAACUUACAGUUCCAUGUGGCUGAGAAGGCUUCACAAUCAUGGUGGAGGGCGAGGGCGAAAGGCACUUCUUACAUGACAGCAGCUAGAUGGAGUUAAAGAGCCAAACAAAAGGGCUUUACCUUUAUAAACCCAUUACAGACUUAAUCACUACCAUGAGAACAGCAUGGGGAAAACUGCUCCCAUGAUUCAAUUAUCUCCCACUGGGUCCCUCCCACAACACGUGGGAAUUAUGGGAGCUACAAUUCAAGAUGAGAUUUGGGUGGGGACACAGCCAAACAAUAUCACCACCCAUUUCUGGAAAAAGACAUAGACAUUCUUCCUCUCAUGUUUAAUGUCCAACACCUUCAUCAGAAAACCCUAUAUUUUAACCCAUUCACUCCUCACUAGUCCAGGAGGAGUCAUGCUCCUGUUUCUCAGUUCCAUGGUGAUUGAGUAAAGCCUGCACUGCUUGACACUCACUUUCAGUUUUGUAUAUUGGCUUUCUGACACCAAACAGAGAGACCCCAUCCUUGGGGAGACCAGCUUUGUGGGUAACAGUUUAUCAUGUUUACAGUGAUUUUUUUUUUCGUAAUUUCUAGAACUGUUAAAAGAAAGCUUUAACACAAUAUCUUCUUACACAAUUGAAUAAGGAAAGUGGGCCUGCUCCUGAGCAUUGUAGGAGGUAAAACUCUAUGUUUUGCUCCUGAUUACUUUGGAGCUUUUUCUCACUCAGCUCUGUCUGCCUUUCUAUUGCCUUUAUUUGUUUACAUGCCUAACUUUAUCUUUCCA
Molecule: long non-coding RNA, 7465 nt
Filed under: Homo sapiens (human)
Lineage: Eukaryota; Metazoa; Chordata; Mammalia; Primates; Hominidae
Description: HSALNT0232249
Source: RNAcentral